GACGAACGCUGGCGGCGUGCCUAAUACAUGCAAGUCGAGCGAAGUUUUUCUGGUGCUUGCACUAGAAAAACUUAGCGGCGAACGGGUGAGUAACACGUAAAGAACCUGCCUCAUAGACUGGGACAACUAUUGGAAACGAUAGCUAAUACCGGAUAACAGUAUUUCUCGCAUGAGAGAUAUUUAAAAGUUGGUUAUGCUAACACUAUGAGAUGGCUUUGCGGUGCAUUAGCUAGUUGGUGGGGUAAAGGCCCACCAAGGCGACGAUGCAUAGCCGACCUGAGAGGGUGAUCGGCCACACUGGGACUGAGACACGGCCCAGACUCCUACGGGAGGCAGCAGUAGGGAAUCUUCCGCAAUGGGCGAAAGCCUGACGGAGCAACGCCGCGUGAGUGAAGAAGGAUUUCGGUUCGUGAAGCUCUGUUGUUAGGGAAGAAUGGAUAUGUAGUAACUAUACAUGUAAGAGACGGUACCUAACCAGAAAGCCACGGCUAACUACGUG
This 499-nucleotide ribosomal RNA is filed under the name uncultured bacterium. Its description in RNAcentral is "partial 16S ribosomal RNA". It matches the Rfam family "Bacterial small subunit ribosomal RNA", at positions 28 to 507 of the family's 1533-position model. The record is from RNAcentral.